CCUGCCUAGAGUUAGGCUGCCGUUUCCUAUCCUGUUUUCACAGAUGGGGCCUUGGCCAGUCAGCCUGAGGAACUGUCCCUGUGCUGAUGCUGGGGGUGCAACCCAAUGAGAAGAGGACUGGCUUUGAAGUCGGGCCUGGGUUCAAAUCCUGAUUCUGCUACAGUCAGCCAAGUGACCCUAGGCAAAUAACUGAAGACUUCUGAGCCAUUGCCGUGUUUGUAAAAUGGAUGAUGUACCUGCCCACGUCUGAAAGGACAUACAUGGCACAGUCUGAGAGCAAAAGAUUGGGGACCAGCCACCCAGUACUAUCAAUAGAAGACUGGUUUAGAACAAGGAACACUUUGCGGCGGUAAGAAAAAAUGGGGAACCUUCUCUGUGUGGAUAUGGGACAAUCUCCAGGAUGUAUGAGCAAGAAAAAGCAUGUUUGCAGUAAACAACCUUUGGAAUAAUGAAGAGGAAAACUAAGAAUGUGUAUUUACAUAAGUAAAUCCUGCAAGGACAUAACAUUUUUUAUAUCAGAAAUUGGGAACUGUUAGGGAAAAAUUAGGAGGAAAACUUCUCACUGAGCCAUUGAUGUCAUUUUUGUAUUUGAACCGUAUGACUGUUACAUAUUAAAAUGUAAAAUUUUAAAAUAUAUGAAACAAAUUAAAAUCCUAUUUGGAGGAGUUCUCA
Molecule: non-coding RNA, 672 nt
Organism: Macaca mulatta (Rhesus monkey)
Lineage: Eukaryota; Metazoa; Chordata; Mammalia; Primates; Cercopithecidae
Source: RefSeq, a predicted model, not a curated record